GCCGAAGUGGCGGAAUGGCAGACGCGCUACGUUCGGGGCGUAGCGCCUGAACGGACAUAGGAGUUCAAAUAUCCCCUUCGGCA
This 83-nucleotide transfer RNA is filed under the name Chloroflexota bacterium. RNAcentral's name for it is "Chloroflexi bacterium (groundwater metagenome) tRNA-Pro". The record is from RNAcentral. Lineage: Bacteria; Bacillati; Chloroflexota.